UAGUACAAAUAAGUCCUCACUGACGGACAAAUUCCACCGGCUCGUAACGAAUCUUGAACGUCAAAUCAAGCCUCUGCAGAUCCUUUUUCUGCACAGUUCCAGGCCGGAGCCGGCAACCGAUCUUGGAUCAUCUGCCGCCGCCGGAUGAGCGGUCGGUCCCCGGAUGCGCUCGAAGGAAAACGUAAAGUUCCGUUGCUCCGUCGAGACCGCGGCUUCGCUACCAGCGAGAGCGAGGCGCCGUGGCGGCCGGCCGGUGUCGACCAAGCUCAGCCGUUGGUAACAACUCGCAGGCGGCCUGGGCAUGCCCGCCACCCGUUCGGGAAAAUGCCCGAGAGGGACUGCUUCGCGCCGCGGCAGCGGAGGCUCGCCGUCGCGGUGCAUGGAUGGCUCGCGCAAACCACGGCGUCGCUCGGCGUGAGGCCUCGCAAGCCAACCGGCCCGUACGUAUGGUUACCAAAUCAGAGUCCAGGUGCUACCUGCUACGGCGCGCAACGACCUUCGCAGUGGCGCUGCAAGCAAGUUGCUUACAUUUGGUGGAAUGGUCUUCUCAAGUGGCUUCUUCUGCGGCAAUGAUGGAUCGAAGACAAGAGAUUUCUUCAAGCCUAUGCACUUGUUUCCAUCGGAAGAGUAGAUUGGCCUGUCAGUUCCAGUGGCCUUCCAGAAGCCUGCUCCAGUUACCCUGUUUGGCCUUGUGCUGUUCCGAGAAGCAGAAGGUAGUUAACAAGGGAAAGAGAUGCGUAGAAGCUUACUUGGGAGAUCCCAUGGAUCAUACUUGUAGAUGUCCAGCUGCCUGAUGAGCUCAAUGGGGAGAGACUUCUGCUGGAUUUUUCUUUUGAGGUAGAACCUGACAAGCUCUUCAUCUGUUGGAUGAAACCUGAAGCCAGAUUGUGAUCUGUUCGCUGCUGCUGAGGUACUACGGCCAAAGGGAUUUGUAGGUACUACGGCCAAAGGGGGUGUUGAGAACUUACGAUGAUGCUCAUCUCUAGACUAUCAUUUCUCUAUCCUUGACACGCAGCGUGCUGCCAACGCGGGGUUGUAAAUUUGACCUAUUAACUACCUUUGUCGUUUAGGGAUAAAUGUUUUGUAUCCAUUUGGUUGUCACUACUAUGAAAGUUCUGGUUUUGCCCGUC
Molecule: long non-coding RNA, 1130 nt
Organism: Phragmites australis (common reed)
Lineage: Eukaryota; Viridiplantae; Streptophyta; Magnoliopsida; Poales; Poaceae
Exons: 5
Source: RefSeq, a predicted model, not a curated record